This 253-nucleotide ribosomal RNA is filed under the name uncultured bacterium. Its description in RNAcentral is "partial 16S ribosomal RNA". It matches the Rfam family "Bacterial small subunit ribosomal RNA", at positions 524 to 776 of the family's 1533-position model. The record is from RNAcentral.
UACGGAGGGUGCAAGCAUUAAUCGGAUUUAUUGGGCGUAAAGCGCGUGUAGGCGGUCCGGUAAGUCCGCUGUGAAAGUCGGGGGCUCAACCCUCGAAUGCCGGUGGAUACUGUCGGGCUAGAGUGCGGAAGAGGCGAGUGGAAUUCCUGGUGUAGCGGUGAAAUGCGCAGAUAUCAGGAGGAACACCUAUUGCGAAGGCAGCUCGCUGGGACGUAACUGACGCUGAGACGCGAAAGCGUGGGGAGCAAACAGG